AAGUCCCGUAACGAGCGCAACCCCUGUUCUUAGUUACCAGCGCGUAAUGGCGGGGACUCUAGGAAGACUGCCGGUGCCAAACCGGAGGAAGGUGGGGACGACGUCAAGUCAUCAUGGUCCUUACGUCUAGGGCUACACACGUGCUACAAUGGGUCGGACAGUGGGGGCCGAGGCAGCAAUGCCAAGGCAAUCCCAAAACCGAUCCUCAGUUCGGAUUGUCGUCUGCAACUCGACGGCAUGAAGCUGGAAUCGCUAGUAAUCGUGGAUCAGCAUCGCCACGGUGAAUACGUUCCCGGGCCUUGUACACACCGCCCGU
Molecule: ribosomal RNA, 316 nt
Filed under: uncultured soil bacterium
Lineage: Bacteria
Description: bacterial SSU rRNA
Rfam family: Bacterial small subunit ribosomal RNA
Source: RNAcentral